GGACUGGUAGCUCAGUUGGAAGAGCACCACUAUACUACACUGGAGGCCACAGGUUCAAUUUCUAGUCCACUUUU
This is a non-coding RNA of Paxillus rubicundulus Ve08.2h10, 74 nucleotides long. The record is from the annotation of a GenBank genome assembly. NCBI's taxonomy places the organism in Eukaryota, Fungi, Basidiomycota, Agaricomycetes, Boletales, Paxillaceae.